CGUAGGGAACCGUGCCCAUGCGGCCGGGGACAACUUCCGGAAACGGAUGCUGAUACCGGAUAAGGAAAGCGAAGGCAUCUUUGCUUUGUUAAAGGAGCUGCAAGGCUCCGCGCAUGGAUGGACCUGCGGUGCAUUAGCUGGUUGGUGAGGUAAAGGCUCACCAAGGCGACGAUGCAUAGCCGGCCUGAGAGGGCGAACGGCCACACUGGGACUGAGACACGGCCCAGACUCCUACGGGAGGCAGCAG
This 247-nucleotide ribosomal RNA is filed under the name uncultured bacterium. Its description in RNAcentral is "partial 16S ribosomal RNA". It matches the Rfam family "Bacterial small subunit ribosomal RNA", at positions 116 to 354 of the family's 1533-position model. The record is from RNAcentral.